Molecule: ribosomal RNA, 292 nt
Filed under: uncultured bacterium
Lineage: Bacteria
Description: partial 16S ribosomal RNA
Rfam family: Bacterial small subunit ribosomal RNA
Source: RNAcentral
GUGCCAGCAGCCGCGGUAAGACAGAGGGGGCAAGCGUUGCUCGGAAUCACUGGGCGUAAAGGGCGCGUAGGCGGGAUGGCAAGUCGGUCGUGAAAUCCCUGGGCUCAACUCAGGGGGGUCGGCCGAUACUGCCGUUCUUGAGGGAUGCAGAGGAGACUGGAAUUCCCGGUGUAGCGGUGAAAUGUGUAGAGAUCGGGAGGAACACCGGUGGCGAAGGCGGGUCUCUGGGCAUUCCCUGACGCUGAGGCGCGAAAGCGUGGGGAGCAAACGGGAUUAGAAACCCCCGUAGUCC